Molecule: ribosomal RNA, 464 nt
Filed under: Streptococcus sp. oral taxon 070
Lineage: Bacteria; Bacillati; Bacillota; Bacilli; Lactobacillales; Streptococcaceae
Description: bacterial SSU rRNA
Rfam family: Bacterial small subunit ribosomal RNA
Source: RNAcentral
GACGAACGCUGGCGGCGUGCCUAAUACAUGCAAGUAGAACGCUGAAGCUUGGUGCUUGCACCGAGCGGAUGAGUUGCGAACGGGUGAGUAACGCGUAGGUAACCUGCCUGGUAGCGGGGGAUAACUAUUGGAAACGAUAGCUAAUACCGCAUAAAAUGGAUUAUCGCAUGAUAAUUCAUUGAAAGGUGCAAAUGCAUCACUACCAGAUGGACCUGCGUUGUAUUAGCUAGUUGGUGGGGUAACGGCUCACCAAGGCGACGAUACAUAGCCGACCUGAGAGGGUGAUCGGCCACACUGGGACUGAGACACGGCCCAGACUCCUACGGGAGGCAGCAGUAGGGAAUCUUCGGCAAUGGACGGAAGUCUGACCGAGCAACGCCGCGUGAGUGAAGAAGGUUUUCGGAUCGUAAAGCUCUGUUGUAAGAGAAAGAAACGAGUGUGAGAGUGGAAAAGUUCCACCACUG